Cygnus olor (mute swan) is the source of this 1385-nucleotide long non-coding RNA. RefSeq lists it as uncharacterized. The transcript is spliced from 2 exons. Lineage: Eukaryota; Metazoa; Chordata; Aves; Anseriformes; Anatidae. The record is from RefSeq and is a predicted model, not a curated record.
GGGUGGUUGGGGGAAGGCUCGGCCGUGCGCUGUCCGCUCGGGUGUCCCCGGGACGAGUCGAGCCGGGCUGGGCUGGGAAGAAGGAGGAGGAGGGGGGAGAGGCCUCCCCUCCCGGGGGACCCUGCGGUUAUCGUGCUCCCUUCUGCUCUGCUCCCCAGGGACCACCGGCGGUGGCCGGGGGCGUCCCCAGCCCCGCAGAUGUCACCGCGGCCGUCGGGUGUCUCCACGCCAGCCCGGCCGUGGGGAGAAAGCAAAGUUUGUCCGGAGGCACCAAAGCGAGAAAUGCUGCGGUGUCCCCGCCAUGCUGGUGCUCACCGAGGUGGCCCUGGUCUCUGCGUUGGCCCUUUGGCCAGGAGGAGGCUUGGGGUGUGUGGUGUGGGGACAGGGAUGGGGACGGGGACCGGGGCAUAACUGACAGAGGUGGUGCCUGGCCCAUGGAAGCCCUAGGGCUACCUUUCCGGGACAUGGGAGGGUGCCAGGAGGUCGAGGGCCCUGAGGAAAAUCAGCCAAAUGUUGUUUUGCAGUGGGCAGAAGCUUCUGUCCACAGCGCAGACCUGAGGAAAGUCCCUCAGCUCGGUGCCAGAGGUUGCUUUGAGCUGGUCAGCGUUGUGAUCUGUGGAGUAAUUUGUUGCUCGGGAGCUCUAUAAAUUGUCCUCUGUGCUCUAGCAGAGCAGUGCUUCGUUCCGGUUGUACCAGGUGCUACAGAGCAGCAAGAGAUCGAUCUCUUUUCCUGGGGAGAUCAGGGCCUGAACCCAGGCAAACUUGCCACCGUGUGUGUGGUGGUAGCUGUGGUUUUGCUUCUCAGGUGAGUUUACUUCCACUAGGUUGAGGCAGAUGGGCAGGAGCUGGCGCCCGAGUGGGCUGGAAGAGGGUUUGGCAGCGUGAGCGGAGCGGUGGGCAGCUCUUUGCAGUGGCAUGCCCAGGGCUCCCACCGUGCAUAUGGCAGAGGCUGUGCUGGCUGGGGGCCAUGCCCCAUCCUCUGGAGGUGCAACCAGGCGUUGCAGUGUUGGGAAAGUGUGGGCAUGGGAGGUUGUUCAGAUGCUUCGGCGUGCUGUGGAGCAUUUCCUUGUCAACCCAAGGCUGAGGGUGAAGUGGGAAUCAAUUCAUCUAAUUUCCUGGAUGCAGCUCUUGGGUGCCCAGCAUAGCAAAGCCUAAGAACAGGAGCUUGGGUGGAUUGUCUCCAAGAGAAACCACGUGUGAUUGGACUUUGUGCAUGCUGCUGUCACAUUGGCUCAGCCAUGGCUCUUGUGCUAACCUGGUAGCUGUCACAGGCUGUGCUGAGGCAGAGCAGGUCCGCAGACCUUCCCUGGGUGCUAUGGUUGACCUCGCUCAUUGUAAUUGACUGGUCUUUAAUAAAAAGCACUGCUGAUUGCUUGACUUCUUAA